Molecule: ribosomal RNA, 465 nt
Filed under: uncultured bacterium
Lineage: Bacteria
Description: bacterial SSU rRNA
Rfam family: Bacterial small subunit ribosomal RNA
Source: RNAcentral
GGGCCCGCACAAGCAGCGGAGCAUGUGGUUUAAUUCGAAGCAACGCGAAGAACCUUACCAGGUCUUGACAUCGAGGCAAAGCCGUAGAGAUACGGUGUUCAGCAAUGAGGCCGAAGACAGGUGGUGCAUGGUUGUCGUCAGCUCGUGUCGUGAGAUGUUGGGUUAAGUCCCGCAACGAGCGCAACCCUUAUUGUCAGUUACUAACGGGUAAAGCUGAGGACUCUGACGAGACUGCCGGGGACAACUCGGAGGAAGGUGGGGACGACGUCAAAUCAUCAUGCCCCUUAUGACCUGGGCUACACACGUGCUACAAUGGUGGUUACAGAGAGGAGCGAGCCCGCGAGGGGGAGCGGAUCUCAAAAAAGCCAUCUCAGUUCGGAUUGUGGGCUGCAACCCGCCCACAUGAAGUUGGAGUUGCUAGUAAUCGCGGAUCAGCAUGCCGCGGUGAAUACGUUCCCGGGCCUU